Molecule: ribosomal RNA, 659 nt
Filed under: uncultured fungus
Lineage: Eukaryota; Fungi
Description: eukaryotic LSU rRNA
Rfam family: Eukaryotic large subunit ribosomal RNA
Source: RNAcentral
CCCGCUGAACUUAAGCAUAUCAAUAAGCGGAGGAAAAGAAACUAACAAGGAUUCCCCUAGUAACGGCGAGUGAAGCGGGAUGAGCUCAAAUUUAAAAUCUGAUAGUCUUUGACUGCCCGAGUUGUAAUCUAGAGAAGUGUUUUCUGUGCUGGACUGUGUACAAGUUUCCUGGAUACGGAACAUCAUAGAGGGUGAGAAUCCCGUCCUUGACGCAGGCUCCCAGUGCUUUGUGAUACGCUCUCAACGAGUCGAGUUGUUUGGGAUUGCAGCUCAAAAUGGGAGGUAAAUUCCUUCUAAAGCUAAAUACUGGCGAGAGACCGAUAGCAAACAAGUACCGUGAGGGAAAGAUGAAAAGCACUUUGAAAAGAGAGUGAAACAGUACGUGAAAUUGUUGAAAGGGAAACGCUUGAAGUCAGUCACACCGUUCAGGAUUCAGCCUUGCUUCUGCUUGGUUUACUUCCUGUUGGGUGGGUCAACAUCAGUUUCCAUCAGAGGAAAAAGGCUUCGGGAAGGUGGCAGCAUUCGUGCUGUGUUAUAGCCCUUUGCUGUAUACUUUGAUAGAGACUGAGGACUGCAGCACGCCUUCUGGCUGGGGUUCGCCCACAUACGUGCUUAGGAUGUUGGCAUAAUGGCUCUAAGCGACCCGUCUUGAAACACGG